GGGAAUAGCGCAAUUGGUAGCGUAGCGGUCUCCAAAACCGUCGGCUGGGGGUUCGAGUCCCUCUUCCC
This 68-nucleotide transfer RNA is filed under the name human gut metagenome. It matches the Rfam family "tRNA". From Rfam's summary of the family: Transfer RNA (tRNA) molecules are approximately 80 nucleotides in length. Their secondary structure includes four short double-helical elements and three loops (D, anti-codon, and T loops). The record is from RNAcentral.